UUUAAGUUUUUCACGUGAUCAUUCACACCGACUAAACCCUCCCGUAACUCUUGGCUUUCACAUCAUUAUCAAUCGGACUCAUUUCGAUACGAAACCUUCGCUGAUCGAAAAUGGCGGAUCAGAAUCAUUCAGUGUCGCCUGUGAGAGACGGAAUGCUGACCUAUUGUUACCUCCUUCUUUACAUAGCUCUCUCCAGCGGUCAGAUCUUCUUCAAUAAGUGGGUUUUGUCAUCAAAGGAGAUAAACUUUCCAUAUCCACUCGGGUUGACACUUCUUCAUAUGAUUUUUUCAUCUGUGCUUUGUUUUGUACUCACUAAAGUUCUCAAGAUUUUGAAAGUUGAGGAAGGAAUGACACUCGAAAUAUACACAACAUCAGUCAUUCCAAUUGGUGCAAUGUUUGCUAUGACUCUUUGGCUUGGAAACACUGCAUACCUCUAUAUAUCUGUCGCCUUUGCUCAGAUGUUGAAAGCAGUCAUGCCUGUAGCGGUUUUCAUUCUUGGGGUGGCAGCCGGACUUGAAGUAAUGAGCAUGAGGAUGCUUUUGAUAAUGUCUGUGAUAAGUUUUGGAGUAUUAGUAGCAUCUUAUGGUGAAAUUAAUAUUAAUUGGAUUGGUGUUGUUUACCAAAUGGGAGGUGUUGUUGGUGAAGCUUUGCGACUUAUAUUUAUGGAGAUCUUUGUUAGGAAAAAGGGUUUGAAAUUGAACCCCAUUUCCAUGAUGUAUUACGUGAGUCCUUGCAGAAUCUUGAUUCGCUGUGCAGCGCUCUUUGUCUGUUAGUCCCAUGGAUAUUUUUGGAGAAACCAAAGAUGGAUGCACAGGGGACUUGGAACUUUCAACCACUCGUGUUAACACUCAAUUCUAUGUGUACUUUCGCUCUAAAUCUUUCGGUUUUUCUCGUGAUUCAACAUACAAGCGCUCUCACAAUCCGUGUAGCUGGUGUUGUCAAAGAUUGGGUAGUGGUCUUAUUGUCAGCAAUUCUUUUUGCUGAUACAAAGCUCACCUUGAUAAAUAUCUUCGGUUAUGCUAUAGCCAUUGGUGGUGUUGCAGCAUAUAAUAACUUCAAGUUGAAAAAAGAAGCCACUCGAGCUGCUAGUUCUGAUAAUAGUUCCAGCUCUUCUCCUAUACCAACAGCUUCUUCUUCCACAAAAGCGUCUAGCUAAACGACACUUGGAUCCACUCAAUUGGUUAGUUGUAUCCUUUUAUAUAAACUUCUUUUUAAAAAUCACACAGGAAAUACAUCUUCAAAUGGAGUAGAGAAUAGUCAAAGCAUCUGUAUUCUGUAGGUCUGAAUCUUGGUAUAGCUUGAACUUGUAAUUGGAUUCUUUUGAGCACCCCAGAAUUGCCAAGUACAAAUUGUACAAUUGAUGGAUGCUCAUGUUGAAUAGCAGACAUUUUGAAGUUCUAUUUCUGAAAUCGAUGUUAUAGAGCUUUUGCUUCUGCAAUUGGUUUGGUCA
This is an RNA transcript of Helianthus annuus (common sunflower), 1450 nucleotides long. It is a transcript of the gene named probable sugar phosphate/phosphate translocator At3g14410, with no coding region annotated. Lineage: Eukaryota; Viridiplantae; Streptophyta; Magnoliopsida; Asterales; Asteraceae. The record is from RefSeq and is a predicted model, not a curated record. The transcript has 7 exons.